RNAcentral lists this ribosomal RNA (167 nucleotides) under Dictyocheirospora sp. Its description in RNAcentral is "partial large subunit ribosomal RNA". It matches the Rfam family "Eukaryotic large subunit ribosomal RNA", at positions 99 to 261 of the family's 3401-position model. The record is from RNAcentral. Lineage: Eukaryota; Fungi; Ascomycota; Dothideomycetes; Pleosporales; Dictyosporiaceae.
CGGCAACAGCUCAAAUUUGAAAUCUGGCUGUCUUUGGCAGUCCGAGUUGUAAUUUGCAGAGGGUGCUUUGGUGUUGGCAGCGGUCUAAGUUCCUUGGAACAGGACGUCACAGAGGGUGAGAAUCCCGUACGUGGUCGCCUGCCUUCGCCGUGUAAAGCCCCUUCGAC